RNAcentral lists this ribosomal RNA (223 nucleotides) under uncultured bacterium. RNAcentral describes it as "partial 16S ribosomal RNA". It matches the Rfam family "Bacterial small subunit ribosomal RNA", at positions 111 to 334 of the family's 1533-position model. The record is from RNAcentral.
UAACGCGUAUGCAACCUACCUUUAACUGAGGGAUAGCCCAUAGAAAUGUGGAUUAAUACCUCAUAGUUCUGUUAAGCCGCAUGGUUUGACAGAUAAAGCCUUGGCGGUUAAAGAUGGGCAUGCGUGACAUUAGCUUGUUGGUAAGGUAACGGCUUACCAAGGCUACGAUGUCUAGGGGUUCUGAGAGGAUGAUCCCCCACACUGGUACUGAGACACGGACCAG